RNAcentral lists this ribosomal RNA (465 nucleotides) under uncultured Klebsiella sp. RNAcentral describes it as "bacterial SSU rRNA". It matches the Rfam family "Bacterial small subunit ribosomal RNA", at positions 338 to 795 of the family's 1533-position model. The record is from RNAcentral. Lineage: Bacteria; Pseudomonadati; Pseudomonadota; Gammaproteobacteria; Enterobacterales; Enterobacteriaceae.
CCUACGGGCGGCUGCAGUGGGGAAUAUUGCACAAUGGGCGCAAGCCUGAUGCAGCCAUGCCGCGUGUGUGAAGAAGGCCUUCGGGUUGUAAAGCACUUUCAGUGGGGAGGAAGGCGGUGAGGUUAAUAACCUCAUCGAUUGACGUUACCCGCAGAAGAAGCACCGGCUAACUCCGUGCCAGCAGCCGUGGUAAUACGGAGGGUGCAAGCGUUAAUCGGAAUUACUGGGCGUAAAGCGCACGCAGGCGGUCUGUCAAGUCGGAUGUGAAAUCCCCGGGCUCAACCUGGGAACUGCAUUCGAAACUGGCAGGCUAGAGUCUUGUAGAGGGGGGUAGAAUUCCAGGUGUAGCGGUGAAAUGCGUAGAGAUCUGGAGGAAUACCGGUGGCGAAGGCGGCCCCCUAGACAAAGACUGACGCUCAGGUGCGAAAGCGUGGGGAGCAAACAGGAUUAGAUACCCUUGUAGUC